CUUUGGUGGCAGACAAUUGCGUGGUGUUUUGAUGUUUUUCAUCAAUUUAUAGUGAUUUCAUGUCAAAUAAAACAAUCAGAACAUUGUUCUACACAGUAUUUUGUGUGAUUUCGUUUGCAGUAAUGGUGAAUUGUUGUAUAAUUGGUUGUAAAAGCCGUAGUGAACGAAAAGAACCAAACAUAACCUUUCAUCGAUUCCCGAAUGAACCAAGUUUAAGAAAUAAAUGGACGGAGUGUACGGGCCGAGUACAUUGGCAUCCAAGUCAACAUUCUCGAAUAUGUUCCAGACAUUUUGAAUCCAGAUGCUAAAGUAUCUGAAAGUUCGAAUACAUCAUGCAGCUAAAAAGCUUUCAGAAAAGUCUGAUAUCGUCAGGAAUUUUUAAAACAAAUUAAUUUUGUUUAAGGGUCAGUGAUACUGAUUAAAGUAUUAUAUUAAA
Ostrinia nubilalis (European corn borer) is the source of this 436-nucleotide long non-coding RNA. RefSeq lists it as uncharacterized. The transcript is spliced from 2 exons. The record is from RefSeq and is a predicted model, not a curated record. NCBI's taxonomy places the organism in Eukaryota, Metazoa, Arthropoda, Insecta, Lepidoptera, Crambidae.